AUUGAACGCUGGCGGCAGGCCUAACACAUGCAAGUCGAACGAGUGGCGGACGGGUGAGUAAUGUCUGGGCAACUGCCUGAUGGAGGGGGAUAACUACUGGAAACGGUAGCUAAUACCGCAUACCAUCAGAUGUGUCCAGAUGGGAUUAGCUUGUUGGUGGGGUAACGGCUCAGCAAGGCGACGAUCCCUAGCUGGUCUGAGAGGGUGAUCAGCCACACUGGAACUGAGACACGGUCCAGACUCCUACGGGAGGCAGCAGUGGGGAAUAUUCCACAAUGGGCGCAAGCCUGAUGCAGCCAUGCCGCGUGUGUGAAGAAGGCCUUCGGGUUGUAAAGUACUUUCAGCGGGGAGGCGUUAGCCGCGGAAGAAGCACCGGCUAACUCCGUGCCAGCCGCCGCGGUAAUAC
Molecule: ribosomal RNA, 406 nt
Filed under: uncultured bacterium
Lineage: Bacteria
Description: partial 16S ribosomal RNA
Rfam family: Bacterial small subunit ribosomal RNA
Source: RNAcentral